Labeo rohita (rohu) is the source of this 354-nucleotide non-coding RNA. Lineage: Eukaryota; Metazoa; Chordata; Actinopteri; Cypriniformes; Cyprinidae. The record is from the annotation of a RefSeq genome assembly.
AUGGUAAAAUACCUGUUUCUGAUUUUAAUUCUGACUCCAGGUGUGAUGACUGCAGACCAGAUUAGGCCGAAUAAAGAAACUAGUGUCAUGAAGGAAGAUGAGACUGUGACCCUCAGCUGCACAUAUGAUACAAGCAGCAGAGGAGUUACUCUUUACUGGUACAGACAGUAUCCUAAUAAAGAACCUCAGUAUUUAAUGUGGAAAGAUGCUCGGGGAUGGAGAAAUACUGGGACCCCAGCUGAACCUCGCUUUCAGGCGACUACAUCAGAAACAUCCACUGAACUUAUUAUUAAUGGUGUAAAACUGUCAGAUUCAGCUCUCUAUUAUUGUGCUCUAAAAGGUGGAGCCCAGUGA